UUCUAUUUGUUUCCUAAAUAGUACAACCUGCUCAAUGCGUAAGUAAAUAGCCGCUUCAUUUGUGCUAAGGUAGCAUAAUCAUUAGCCUUAUAAUUUAAGGAUAGAAUGAAAGGUUCCACAUGUAAUUUCCUUUAUUGAUAUUGAUACUCUAAUUUUACCUGUAAGUAAAAAUGCUUACAUUUAUAAGAAGGACGAUAAGACCCUGUCGAACUUUACUUAUGUUUAACUGGGGCGGUAGAAAACCAUGUCUUUUCCCUAUUUCUUAUCUUAUCUCUUUAAAAGAAAUUAUAUCAAGUUACCGCAGGGAUAACAGCAUAAUUUUUUCCUAAAGAUCUUAUUAAAGAAAAAGAUUAUGACCUCGAUGUUGAAUAUUUUAUCUUUUAGGGGAAAAUCCAUAAAAAGAAAGUCUGUUCGACUUUUAAAUAUUUACA
RNAcentral lists this ribosomal RNA (431 nucleotides) under Cyclocosmia loricata. RNAcentral's name for it is "partial 16S ribosomal RNA". It matches the Rfam family "Archaeal large subunit ribosomal RNA", at positions 1955 to 2669 of the family's 2987-position model. The record is from RNAcentral. Lineage: Eukaryota; Metazoa; Arthropoda; Arachnida; Araneae; Ctenizidae.